CAGUUUCUCUAGCUUCCUCAGCCU
RNAcentral lists this non-coding RNA (24 nucleotides) under Arabidopsis thaliana (thale cress). Lineage: Eukaryota; Viridiplantae; Streptophyta; Magnoliopsida; Brassicales; Brassicaceae. The record is from RNAcentral.